This is a long non-coding RNA of Oncorhynchus keta (chum salmon), 1011 nucleotides long. RefSeq lists it as uncharacterized. The record is from RefSeq and is a predicted model, not a curated record. The transcript has 2 exons. Lineage: Eukaryota; Metazoa; Chordata; Actinopteri; Salmoniformes; Salmonidae.
UUUGAGUUCAUUGAGAGAGAUUUGGGCUCCAAGCAAGCCGGCUUUCUCAGUUGAGAGAAGAGUUCUUAUAUAUUUUUAAAAGGACUUGAUCUGGCUUGGUGUUGAUUUACAAUCAGAGGUGUACAAUUCUUUAUAGAAAUGGGAGAAUGUUUGGUUGAUUCAUUUGGGUUCUGAUAGUAAUUCAACUGAUUCAGAAUCAAUAGUUGCAAUAUCUGCUAAUUGAUAACUACGGUGAAGCUUGUUAGCCAGUAGAUGAUUGGGUUGAUUACCAUGGAAAUAAUGGUUGAGUCUCACUCGAUGGAUGGUAAAUUCUGCUCCCUGUCGUAUCAAUAGAUUUAGUUAUGUCUUGAAUUUGAAGAGCGAGGUCGCUACCUGGUCUGAAAAAAAGUGUUGAGAAUGCUCUAAUGUUGUUGACAUUCCAUUGAUCCUAAAAAUACAUCUCUACUCACCCAGGACACCGGGCCAUGCAAAACGAACGCGGCCAUUGCUUUAAUAGUUAGGCUAUCCAUAUUACCAAAGCUUAUAUUCUUUCUACUUCUAUGGUGGAUUCGCGGCCGCAAUUUAGAUAAUGCAUUGAUAUAUAUCUAGCUAGCUAGCUUGCUCAAAUGACAACAGAGAGAACAAAGAAUAUAGCUAUUUGAUCAUGUCCGUGUGCAUGUCCAAAUAUGUCAACUUCCUCAGAGAGCCCCGUACUGCACAACGAGGAUAAAGAAGUAAAUUGCUGGUUGGGAUAGAGCGAGACUUUCUAGACAUGCCUGGUGCCCAAAUUGAUGACAUACUGCAUGUUGCGCAGCGAGAGUCGAGUGGCAACAAACGGAUUUGGUUCAGUCAGUCAUCCUGAUGAGCCCUUCCCAGCUAGUUAGUUUAUAGAUGUGGCUCGGGAGCAUGUUCAGAAUCAUUACAUUUGUAUAGGAAUAAUUGUUCAUUUUCUUUUUAGAAACAUGUUGACGUUAAUGCCAUAGCUGUACAUUUUCUGGGAAAAUCACUACAAUAAAUGUGCUUUCGCUCUCA